RNA transcript from Sorghum bicolor (sorghum), 5704 nucleotides. RefSeq lists it as uncharacterized. The transcript has 3 exons. The record is from RefSeq and is a predicted model, not a curated record. Lineage: Eukaryota; Viridiplantae; Streptophyta; Magnoliopsida; Poales; Poaceae.
GAUGUUUUUCCGUGCACACCAGAUUGUGCACCUAAAAACCCCAUGUGAAAAUCAAUGACCCAGAUCUAUACUAACAAGACUUCCCCACGAUCCUAGGGGCAUGGCCGCUUCCAGGCUUUGGCUUCAACGCAAGCUUCCGCCCGACUCCGGCCAUGCGUGAUCCCGCACUGCGCCCCACGCAAAACAUGAAUCCCCUCUCGAUCCCGCGCGUCGCCCUCAACUCCUGAUUUGCGAUUUGCAAAAAACAUUCUCCUUCUGAUUUCUGGUACCAUAUGGACGGCAGCUUCACAGGCAAUCCGGAGGAGGAAAGAUCCUACAGGAGUUCCUGUUCAGCCGAUCUGUGUCGUCCCUGCACCGGAGACCCUAUCUACGUGCAUCCUAGCCGUCGUGCGCAGCUCGACAGCACCAAGUCCGGCGCGCAGCACGCGAUCUGCGGCCCCCUCUUCAUCAGCGGUAGCAACAAGGCCAGCAAUGCCUGGAUCGAGGUCCAGGCCAACUUCGACCACCUCGCUUGUGACGGCUACCUCUCCUGCGCUGACUUCCCCAAUGUAUAGGUUCACUUGAGUCCCUUCCCCUUUCCCUUCCAGAAACCCCAAGCUUCUUCGACUGAAUGGUUCCUAAUCGCAUUGGAGUUUUUGAUGCUGGAAUGACGGAGUCACAGUCAAAGCAUGUCUCUGUUUCAAGUUCACGACUGCUUAGUCAUGUCCCUUCUUUUUAUUUUUUUUAUUGGAUAGAUAUCGCUUGUGUUAUUUGUUCAUCCAAGUGCAUUAUGUAGUGUUAUUUACAAACCAAAAUUUAUUGUUUCGAGAUUCAGUCCACAACAUUUUGUUUAUAUUGGACUGUUAUCUUGUGACAACAUUCUGGGCUUGCAGCUCUGUAAAUGAUGAUUGGCAAGUAGUCCACGAUCGCCGCUGACCGGUGGCCGCUGAACCACGAUCGCUGAUCCAUCUUGUUGCUGCCGUGGUCGGUGUUUUCCGAUCGCGCGUGGGAGUCGCGGCAGAUCGGUGUUUGCCAAGUCGCGGACGGACUUAUAUAAAUGCCAAGCCUCCUCUAGAAUUUGCCAAGUUUCUAAAAAUGCAAAACCAAUAUGCAAAACUGAUGGAGAGGUAUUUUUGUGAAUUUUGGCAAAAAUCAAGAAUGGAAAAGCAAUAUGCAAAACUGUUGGAGAUGCUCUUACUCGGUUACACAGAUUAAUUCCCCUUCAGGACAUCUAAAUGGAAGAUGAAAAUUCAAGUUUCUGAUGCCCUAAUGCCCAAUGAUAUAUAGAUUUAUUUGUUUCCCUUUCCAUUUCUAGGAAAAAGAAGUACUGCUCUCAAUACUCACAAUAUCGUGUUUCUAGAACUCAUCAAUUGACAAUCUGUUGUAGGAUUCAUUUAUUUCUAUAAUUCUAUUGCAUGAAGCCAUGUGACCAUGAAGAAGGGUCAAAAGGUCCUUGCUGUCAAUUGUAAUUAGGCCUUUCUUUUGUUUCAUUUUUGAAUCGGCAGCAACCCUUGUUGAUGUAGUUAAUAUAUAUGUAUCCAUUGUGAUGAUCUGAUCGCUUCGGAGUGCAGUGUUUUGUAAGGCUUAUUGGGAAAUUGGAGGGGUACUGUCUUUGUAAAGAAAGAGCAUGACGGUGAAGAGCCUUUUGAGUUCAUUGAGAAAGUGUAAAGGCUUUAGAUUAGUAAAGAAGUAAUUGAAUUACUGAUAUGUGAUAUGUCCUUGUAGUUUAGCUUUUCUGUCAGGAAGUUCUAGAAUGAAGAACAAUAUAUAUUUUGAUGUACGCAAGUUCUGAAUUUAAGGUAUUAUAUGAGUCCUUUUAAACAUAUCUUUUUGGUUAACUAUCUUACAGAGUGAUCAAUUAAGUAUUUUGAUUAUACCUGUGUCUAUUUAGCUUAUCAGUUAACUGACACCUAGCUCUUGCCUCACAUCUGCUUCUCUUUUUGUUGUUAGGAAGUUCAGGAACAAAGAACAAUAUAUAUUUUCAUUUACGCAAGUUCUGAAUUUAAGGUAUUAUAUGAGACCUUUUAAAUAUUUUUUUUGUUAAGUAUUUUACAGAGUGAUCAGUUAACUAUUUUUGUUAUACUUGUGUCUGAUGCCUAGCUCUUGCCUCACCAAUACUGAAGAUGGCUCAGUGCAUGUUCAGUCAUUUGCACAAUAAAAUCCUAAAAUCUGUCUGUUGUUUUGUAUUUGUACUGUCUUUCCAGCUUUAUAAUAUAUUGGAUUGCAUGCCAGCUAUUUUAGAGUUGCUAAUUGUGAGAGCAUUUUGUCUGUUAAACUACUGGUUUAGGGCUUCUGAGGAUACUGCAUUGGAGACGCUUUCUGGCAAAGGGAUAAUAAUUUGCUCAUCAUAGAAGGAAGGUUGACCAGCUUUAAAAUUAGCUGACAAAAGUUGUAUUUUUGUUUUCACUAAUGCUGCAUAUAUUAAUCAUUUAAUCUCUGGAUAAUUAGAUUCUUAAUUAGUAUAUAUUUGUUUGAGCUGUUGAGGAAGAAUCAGAAACCUUUUGCUUGAGCUAUCGAUUCUAUAGUUUGCCUAUCUCCUUUUGUAGAAAGUGAAAAGAGGACUCUCCUUUGGUUAAAGUUGGAGUCAGUUUGUUCGAACUGCAUAGUAUUUUUGGAUUUUUCUGUCCAUUCCUGAUCUUAGAUAGGUACAUACAUACUGUAUUUUUUUAUUUCAUGCACCAUGGUCCACUUGAGUGUUUAUACUUAGAUUAGUCAACACCUUGUUGGGUAUGCGAUGUCAUUUUUUUCUGCCAGGAUAUUGCAUUGUCUAUAAAUAUGAGCAACGGGCCGGCCCGGCCCGAUAGAGCACGGGCCCGUAUGGCGCGCGUGCCACUAGGCCAUGCCUCCACAGGCCACCGUGCCUGCCUGAUGGCCCAGGCAUGGCUCGUGGGCUGAUUUUCGAGCCGGCCCAGCCCGAAAAGCACGAGGCCCAAUAGUCCUUCGGACCUGCCCAUGACCCGCUAUAUGAAAAACAUCAAAUUUAAUAUAAAAUUAACAAAGCAUAAGUACAUUACAUUCAAGUCACAUAUAUUAAUACUUCACAAUUCACAUGACACAAUAUACUCUCAGAUCAUAUUUCACUUGCUAAAAUUCAUAAGUUUUACAAGUCACAAAACCUGAUACUUCAAGUUUCACAAAUGUCCUGAUACCGGGCCAUUACCGUUCCUACUGUUAAAAGCGGGCCGUGUUGUGCCGCCCAGCGGGCUAAGGGGUCAGCCCAAGCACGGCCCGCUACGUGCUUCGGGCCGGGCCGGGCCCAGUUAGGAUCGGAUCGUGCCGUGCUCGGGCUGAGCCAAAUCACCGUGCUUUGGGUCGUGCCUUUGGCCCGCGGGCUGAAUGCUCAACUUUAAUAAUUUUCAAUUAUCAUUUAAUUUAUAGAACCAAAUAGCAGUUGAUGUUAAAAAUGACAUGAAGGAGCAGACUGCACCCCCCGCUUUUUAAUUAAGAGGAUGCAGGGCUCGAACCUGGGUCUCCUGACUGAGAGCAAGCUCCAGUAACUAGACACCCACGAGAGCACCUGCAAAUAGCAGCUGAUGUUGUAACCUCUUUGGUCAUUUCAAGUCCUCCAAUACUUCUGCUAGAUAGAUGUUAGGUAAAUUCUUGGGUUAUUUACUUAUUAUAUUUCUUCAAGCCUAUAUUGAUCUUCACAAAGAUUUGUUAGGCCUUGUUUAGUUCGCGAAAAUUUUUGAAUUUCGCUACUGUAGCACUUUUGGCUUUAUUUGACAAUUAUUAUUCAAUUGUAGACUAACUAGGCUCAAAAGAUUCGUCUCGCAAAUUACAGAUGAGUGCAUUGUACAUCCAGAAGAUCAUGCACCAGUUGAUUGUUGGCAGCUCUGAGGGCGGCUUCUAAAUGUAGGGGAGCUUGAAGACCUGCUGAAGACAUUUUGCUGCCAAGGUGUGUGUUCUUGUAAAUGUAUUUCUCUUUGCAUUGUCUUUUUGCCUGCUAAUUUGGUGUUGCGGGGUGUAGUAAGAGUCUUAGCUGCCUUGUGGAAAUAUGUGGCCGGAACAUUUAAUCUCUUCUUGUGUACAUGUAGACUUAGGGUAUAAAUAUAUGGAAAUUACUUCGUACUCCUAGGAGUAGCUACUCCCAUGUCUAUAUCUCUAGACUUACUCCCAUGUCUAUAUCUCUAGACUUAAGAUAUAUCCUACGAUCGGACGAAAUAUAUGUAGACGAAGAUAUGAUCAUAUUAGACCAUCUAGGGGUGAUAUAUAUGUUAAGUAUGCAUGCAUACAUAGAGUAUGUGGUUAUACUUAUUAUAUAUACUACAAUAGUGUCAUUUUAGUAAUACAUUAAAAAAUAUAGAUUUCUUCGAAAAAUUUUCACGUCAUAAGAUCUAGAGUAUCUUAAUAUAAAGUAUAUAAACAUACUCAAACCGUUAAAUAAGUAUGAACAUAUACACAAUGUGGUUUAUUGAAGGUAGGAGUAACUACUCCUAGGAGUGCGGAAAUAAGUCAUGCUUAAUAGCUUAACAUAUACGUCUUUUAGUUAUUUGAUUUGGCUAGUUAUGUGAUAUCGUGGCGUUAGCACGAGCAUUAUACUAGUAUGAAUAAAUGAGUCGGACGCUCAGGUCCCAUCAUUACCAUUUAUAUAAGCUUCUUCGAACAAUUAAGUCAUCUCUAACGCUUAUAUAUCAUUUUUUUUAACCAAUCAUUGUAAACUCACCACCUUAUCCUCCAUAUAAGCAACUCUUGGAGACUAUGCCAGUAUAUCCUGAGAUUGAUGAAGUUAUCAUAAGUAUAUUGUUGUCUACGAACAUAUCAGGUAUUACUAUAAAAAUAACACUGUUAAUCUAGAAUAAAUCUAAAAAAAUAUAAACACCUUUAUUAAGUAGAGGAUUUAAAAUUUCAGAGACAAAAUUCACCAAUUUGUUGGUACAUUUAGCACUUUACAUAUUCAUGUUCAAAUGCAUCUCAAUAGGAGAUAUCUCUGGAUAUGUUAUUUUGUAUUUUUGUUUGUAAAGUAUAUUGGUGCUUUUUUUCAAUGACCAUCCCCAUGGUACUCCCUCUGUCUCAAAAUAGAAGUAGCCAUAGGAUACAUAUAGGUUAAACUUUCUCAACAUUUUUAUCUCUAAAUACAUUUAUUAAGAAAGUAUAUUCAAUUAUCUCACUAAUGAUACUAAUUGUGUACUUCAUCCGUCCCUAAAAGCUUCAAUUUCUAGAAUCCACGAACUUUAUAAAAGAAGCAUCAAUAUCUAUGACAUAAAAUGAAUAUUUUCUAUAAUAAAUCUAAUGAUACUAAUUUGAUAAUAUAAAUCUUAGCAUUUUUUCUAGAAAUUCGAUCAAAGUUUAAAAAAUUUGACUUAAGACAACUAUAGGCAUUGAAAUUUUUAGAGACUGGGGAGUAUUAUAAAUAUUAAUAUUUUUAAUAUAUUUGAUCAAAGUUAAAAAUAUUUGAUUUCUCAAUGAUAAUGACAUCUAUUUUGAGACGGAUAGUGUGCAUGCCUAGAUUUUUAUUCUUUGGAGAAAACGUGCUCAGAUCUUAAGGAUGCGUGCUCCUGUGUGCGAGGCAGCCACAACCACAGCUUGAGCAGCCGCUGAAAAAAAAAAAUCUUGCCGAGCGUAAGGACACUCACAAUAAAUAUUUUAUUAUAAAAUUUAAAGUUAUUUAUUAUCUCGAAUAAUAUGAACUUAGAGUCUAAAUAAGAUUUGAAGUCUUAUAUUCUCUACCUCUUUUUUUAAUAAAUAUGCUGCCACAUCAAUAAAAUAUUAUAAAUAAUAUGUAAUU